ACGAAGGGGGCUAGCGUUGUUCGGAAUUACUGGGCGUAAAGGGCGCGUAGGCGGCCACCGCAAGUCGACUGUGAAAUCUCCGGGCUUAACUCGGAAAGGUCAGCCGAUACUGCGGGGCUAGAGUGCAGAAGGGGCAACUGGAAUUCUCGGUGUAGCGGUGAAAUGCGUAGAUAUUGGGAAGAACACCGGUGGCGCAAGCGGCUUGCUGGGCUGUAACUGACGCUGAGGAACGAAAGCUAGGGUAGCGAAUGGGA
This 254-nucleotide ribosomal RNA is filed under the name uncultured prokaryote. Its description in RNAcentral is "partial 16S ribosomal RNA". It matches the Rfam family "Bacterial small subunit ribosomal RNA", at positions 525 to 777 of the family's 1533-position model. The record is from RNAcentral.